GAGUUUGAUCAUGGCUCAGAACGAACGCUGGCGGCAGGCUUAACACAUGCAAGUCGAACGCCCCGCAAGGGGAGUGGCAGACGGGUGAGUAACGCGUGGGAAUCUACCCAGAUCUUCGGAACAACUGAGGGAAACUUCAGCUAAUACCGGAUACGCCCUACGGGGGAAAGAUUUAUCGGUUCUGGAUGAGCCCGCGUUGGAUUAGCUAGUUGGUGGGGUAAUGGCCUACCAAGGCGACGAUCCAUAGCUGGUCUGAGAGGAUGAUCAGCCACACUGGGACUGAGACACGGCCCAGACUCCUACGGGAGGCAGCAGUGGGGAAUAUUGGUCAAUGGGCGGAAGCCUGAACCAGCCAUGCCGCGUGAGUGAUGAAGGCCUUAGGGUUGUAAAGCUCUUUCAGUAGGGAAGAGUAAUGACGGUACCUACAGAAGAAGCCCCGGCUAACUUCGUGCCAGCAGCCGCAGUAAC
Molecule: ribosomal RNA, 468 nt
Filed under: uncultured Alphaproteobacteria bacterium
Lineage: Bacteria; Pseudomonadati; Pseudomonadota; Alphaproteobacteria
Description: bacterial SSU rRNA
Rfam family: Bacterial small subunit ribosomal RNA
Source: RNAcentral